UACGAAGGGGACUAGCGUUGUUCGGAAUCACUGGGCGUAAAGCGCACGUAGGCGGGUCGUUAAGUCAGGGGUGAAAUCCCAGAGCUCAACUCUGGAACUGCCUUUGAUACUGGCGACCUAGAGUUCGGAAGAGGUUAGUGGAAUUCCCAGUGUAGAGGUGAAAUUCGUAGAUAUUGGGAAGAACACCAGUGGCGAAGGCGGCUAACUGGUCCGAUACUGACGCUGAGGUGCGAAAGCGUGGGGAGCAAACAGG
This 253-nucleotide ribosomal RNA is filed under the name uncultured bacterium. RNAcentral describes it as "partial 16S ribosomal RNA". It matches the Rfam family "Bacterial small subunit ribosomal RNA", at positions 524 to 776 of the family's 1533-position model. The record is from RNAcentral.